GACGAACGCUGGCGGCGUGCUUAACACAUGCAAGUCGAACGGGCCUGUCUUCUUUUUUGGGGGGUGGGUUGAGUGGCGAACGGGUGAGUAUCACGUGAGUAACCCGCCCUUCGGUCCUGGAUAACCGCUUGAAAGGGCGGCUAAUACGGGGUGGUCCGGUUGGUCCGCAUGGGCUGGUCGGGAUAGAUUCACUGUUUUUGGUGUUUCGGCGGGGGAUGGGCUCGCGGCCUAUCAGCUUGUUGGUGGGGUGAUGGCCUACCAAGGCGGUGACGGGUAGCCGGCCUGAGAGGGUGGGCGGCCACACUGGGACUGAGAUACGGCCCAGACUCCUGCGGGAGGCAGCAGUGGGGGGUAUUGCACAAUGGGCGGAAGCCUGAUGCAGCGACGUCGCGUGAGGGAUGGAGGCCUUCGGGUUGUGAACCUCUGUUUCCGGUGGUGAAGGCCCUGUCCGUGUGGUGGGGUUGACGGUAGCCGGGGAUGAAGCGCCGGCUAACUACGUG
This 500-nucleotide ribosomal RNA is filed under the name uncultured bacterium. Its description in RNAcentral is "partial 16S ribosomal RNA". It matches the Rfam family "Bacterial small subunit ribosomal RNA", at positions 28 to 507 of the family's 1533-position model. The record is from RNAcentral.